This 367-nucleotide long non-coding RNA is filed under the name Elaeis guineensis (African oil palm). Its description in RNAcentral is "long non-coding RNA (EGUI_LNC032147)". The record is from RNAcentral. Lineage: Eukaryota; Viridiplantae; Streptophyta; Magnoliopsida; Arecales; Arecaceae.
UGGUGGAUCGGGUGGUCCACGGCCAGACGUGUGGACCACGUAGGCAUUUUUCAUGCAUUUUGUGCGGUCUACGGCACUAUUUCAUGGACCGACAUGCAAUCGGAGGGCGUGAGUAGUUCUCAAUGUUGAUCCAAUGGCUGAAAAAAUUGAUGGGCCUAAUUAGGACUUCUGAUAAGGUUCUAAUUGGGUUUAAGGCCUUUAAAAGGCCACGGACAGUGAGCAGAUGUGUGGUGGUUUUGGUUUUUCACGGGAGAAGAACUCAGGUGGCCUUGUGUGGUUCGGUUGGUGGUCCUGUGCAGCACGCACGGGCUUCAACAGUGAAGAGCCUGAGCCUGUGAAGAGAGAGAGAGACCGUGAUGCUGUGGAG